UACGAAGGGGGCGAGCGUUGUUCGGAUUUACUGGGCGUAAAGGGCGCGCAGGCGGCUAUCCAAGUCAGGCGUGAAAGCCCCGGGCUUAACCUGGGAGGUGCGUCUGGGACUGGGUGGCUAGAGUUCGGGAGAGGUGAGUGGAAUUCCGAGUGUAGAGGUGAAAUUCGUAGAUAUUCGGAGGAACACCAGUGGCGAAGGCGGCUCACUGGCUCGGUACUGACGCUGAGGUGCGAAAGCGUGGGGAGCAAACAGG
Molecule: ribosomal RNA, 253 nt
Filed under: uncultured bacterium
Lineage: Bacteria
Description: partial 16S ribosomal RNA
Rfam family: Bacterial small subunit ribosomal RNA
Source: RNAcentral